This 89-nucleotide microRNA precursor is filed under the name Haemonchus placei. RNAcentral's name for it is "mir-5886 microRNA precursor family". It matches the Rfam family "mir-5886 microRNA precursor family". The record is from Rfam by way of RNAcentral. Lineage: Eukaryota; Metazoa; Nematoda; Chromadorea; Rhabditida; Trichostrongylidae.
AUUGCAUUUUCUUCGAGCUGGGUCAUGAAUGUGUUCUUGUACAGUGCUAAGAACACUCUUUGACUUCGGUUUGAAGAGUUAUGUGCAGU